CAGGUCUGUGAUGCCCUUCGAUGUUCUGGGCUGCACGUGUGCUACAAUGAUAGUGACAACGAGUACCUGCUCUGAGAGGGGUGGGAAAUCUUAAAAAUCGCUAUCUUGCUUUGGACUGAGCCUUGUAAUAAUUGCUCACGAAAGAGGAAUUCCUCGUAAGCGCGGGUCAUCAGCUCGUGUUGAAUAAGUCUCUGCCCUUUGUACACACCGCCCGUCGCUACUACCGACUGGAUGUUGCUUCGAAAUGUUAGGACUUGCGGCGUCUCGACGCUGCGGGGAAUAGUUUUAUGUAAUUUCUGGAGGAAGUAAAAGUCGUAACAAGGUUUCCGUAGGUGAACCUGCGGAAGGAUCAUCAA
Molecule: ribosomal RNA, 356 nt
Filed under: Kudoa septempunctata
Lineage: Eukaryota; Metazoa; Cnidaria; Myxozoa; Multivalvulida; Kudoidae
Description: SSU rRNA
Rfam family: Eukaryotic small subunit ribosomal RNA
Source: RNAcentral